UCGGAUGAAGGGUGCCCGGGACCCGGUCUUCUCCCUCACGGGAACACUUUUUUUCUAAGGUGACCUCGAUCAGUAGAAUCCCAUUCCA
RNAcentral lists this ribosomal RNA (88 nucleotides) under Fonsecaea monophora. RNAcentral's name for it is "partial 28S ribosomal RNA". Lineage: Eukaryota; Fungi; Ascomycota; Eurotiomycetes; Chaetothyriales; Herpotrichiellaceae. The record is from RNAcentral.